This 429-nucleotide ribosomal RNA is filed under the name Fusobacteriota bacterium. RNAcentral's name for it is "Fusobacteria bacterium partial 16S ribosomal RNA". It matches the Rfam family "Bacterial small subunit ribosomal RNA", at positions 355 to 776 of the family's 1533-position model. Lineage: Bacteria; Fusobacteriati; Fusobacteriota. The record is from RNAcentral.
UGGGGAAUCUUCCGCAAUGGACGAAAGUCUGACGGAGCAACGCCGCGUGAGUGAAGACGGCCUUCGGGUUGUAAAGCUCUGUUAUUCGGGAAGAACGAUUCGUUUGUGAACAAUGAACGGAAGUGACGGUACCGAAAGAGAAAGCCACGGCUAACUACGUGCCAGCAGCCGCGGUAAUACGUAGGUGGCAAGCGUUGUCCGGAAUUAUUGGGCGUAAAGAGCGCGUAGGCGGUAUGGUAAGUCUGUCUUAGAAGUGCGGGGCUUAACCCCGUGAGGGGACAGAGACUGUCAUACUGGAGUCUCGGAGAGGAAAGCGGAAUGCCUAGUGUAGCGGUGAAAUGCGUAGAGAUUAGGAAGAACACCGGUGGCGAAGGCGGCUUUCUGGACGAGCACUGACGCUGAGGCGCGAAAGCGUGGGGAGCGAACAGG